RNAcentral lists this long non-coding RNA (297 nucleotides) under Homo sapiens (human). RNAcentral describes it as "non-protein coding lnc-AKR1B1-4:1". Lineage: Eukaryota; Metazoa; Chordata; Mammalia; Primates; Hominidae. The record is from RNAcentral.
AUGAAUGUCAAACACCAGUUUUCAUAUCCAGAUACAAAGAGUCUUGGAUGGCACAAAGUGUAUUUCUCCAGAGAACAGCGCCACCUUCAUCAGCAACACAACCAUUCAGGAGUGGUUCUCUGCCAUUUUCAGACACAAGGUCUUCCUGCAUUGGUACAUGAGGGCAUGGACGAGAUGGAGUUCACUGAGGCCAAGUGCAAUAUGAAUGACCUGGUGUUUGCCUACCAACAGUACCAUGAUGCCACGGCUGAGGGGAAGGGAGCGUUUAAGGAGUGGGAUGAGGAGGAGGUGACUUAG